AGUGAACGCUGGCGGUAGGCCUAACACAUGCAAGUCGAACGGUAACAGGUCUUCGGAUGCUGACGAGUGGCGAACGGGUGAGUAAUACAUCGGAACGUGCCUAGUAGUGGGGGAUAACUACUCGAAAGAGUGGCUAAUACCGCAUGAGAUCUACGGAUGAAAGCAGGGGAUCGCAAGACCUUGUGCUACUAGAGCGGCCGAUGGCAGAUUAGGUAGUUGGUGGGAUAAAAGCUUACCAAGCCGACGAUCUGUAGCUGGUCUGAGAGGACGAUCAGCCACACUGGGACUGAGACACGGCCCAGACUCCGACGGGAGGCAGCAGUGGGGAAUUUUGGACAAUGGGCGAAAGCCUGAUCCAGCAAUGCCGCGUGCAGGAUGAAGGCCUUCGGGUUGUAAACUGCUUUUGUACGGAACGAAAAGCCCCGGGUUAAUACCCUGGGGUCAUGACGGUACCGUAAGAAUAAGCACCGGCUAACUACGUGCCAGCCGCCGCCGUAA
Molecule: ribosomal RNA, 498 nt
Filed under: uncultured bacterium
Lineage: Bacteria
Description: partial 16S ribosomal RNA
Rfam family: Bacterial small subunit ribosomal RNA
Source: RNAcentral